Non-coding RNA from Ameiurus melas (black bullhead), 77 nucleotides. The record is from the annotation of a GenBank genome assembly. Lineage: Eukaryota; Metazoa; Chordata; Actinopteri; Siluriformes; Ictaluridae.
GCAGUGGUAGCUCAGGGGUUAAAACAUUGGACUUUUGAUUGGACGGUUGUGAGUUCAAAUCCCAGCACGCCACUGCU